Molecule: transfer RNA, 75 nt
Filed under: bacterium
Lineage: Bacteria
Also listed under: 6 other names
Description: tRNA-Gly
Rfam family: tRNA
About the family: Transfer RNA (tRNA) molecules are approximately 80 nucleotides in length. Their secondary structure includes four short double-helical elements and three loops (D, anti-codon, and T loops). Further hydrogen bonds mediate the characteristic L-shaped molecular structure. tRNAs have two regions of fundamental functional importance: the anti-codon, which is responsible for specific mRNA codon recognition, and the 3' end, to which the tRNAs corresponding amino acid is attached (by aminoacyl-tRNA synthetases). tRNAs cope with the degeneracy of the genetic code in two manners: having more than one tRNA (with a specific anti-codon) for a particular amino acid; and 'wobble' base-pairing, i.e. permitting non-standard base-pairing at the 3rd anti-codon position.
Source: RNAcentral
GCGGGCGUAGUUCAGUGGUAGAACGUCUGCUUGCCAAGCAGAAGGUCGUGGGUUCAAAUCCCAUCGUCCGCUCCA